Molecule: long non-coding RNA, 1886 nt
Organism: Rattus norvegicus (Norway rat)
Lineage: Eukaryota; Metazoa; Chordata; Mammalia; Rodentia; Muridae
Source: RefSeq, a predicted model, not a curated record
UCUUUUCCCACUGUGCUGUGGUUUGUUUGGGUCUCCUGGAGACAGUCUGGCAGUCUGUGGGCUACAAGACUCCCUAAGCUUGUCAGACAGAUUGCUCUGUUCCAGGCAGAGAUGUUCCCUUAAACAGAACACCAUCUUCCCUGUGCUGGCCAGAGAGGGGUGAAGAGUAUCCAAGAAGAGUCGUGACAGCAGCCCCUGAUACUGUCCUGCUUCAUUGCUGAUGCUACUACCUGGAUUUCAGCUGAGGAUGCCAACAGUGAGGGAGACCAGGCAGAAACCUCGACAACGAAAAUCCCAAGCCCAUGUGAAAGACGAGUUGAUUCCAGCUGCUUGGUACUUAACACUGGCAGACAAGCUCUAAGGACCACCACCAAGAAGACACAGCACAAGACAGCCCACACCAGAUAAUCCUCCAGCUAAUCCAAUUCCUUGAUGACAAGGCAGGACAUCAGAGGCAGCUAUGCAAAAGAGGAAGUGAUGCCGGGCCUCCCCCUCCAGAAGGGAAGAAGUACUCAUUAUCACGCCAAGGGCACCGUUCAGUCCCACUUCCAAGGCUAGCUGUGCUCACAUUUAUUAACGUCUGUUUUCCCAGGCAACAGGAGAUGACGCACACACCCUCCUCGAGACAGAGUCGGCAGAUUUAUUUCCCCAUUAAUGUUCUGGGAAGAACACAAUAGCAUCCAGAGAGCCAGAUGGGUGAGCAGCACCAUUCCAACAGGGUGUUCUACCAACCUCCUCUGGAAAUUAAAUAGAAACACUGUUGCCCCCGUUCCUCCUUAACAACCUAAUGGAUUUUCCACCAACUUAACCAGCCUGAGUCCGCUGGAGGAUGGGCUGCAAGCACCUUGAGGUUUGUGUGGUUUCUAUAACGCUCAUUGGUCUUGUAAAUAGAGCCGGUCUUUAACGAGCCCAGUGGGCCUUUCUGGAUUUGCUCAUCAGCAACCCUGUGGAAGGGGCAGGAGAGCUGUGACAGAUGCAAUCCCAAAUAGCCAGUCAAUAAGGAAUUCAUUUAGCUGCUUGUGUGACUUUCCCACACACACACGAUGCCAUUUGUUUGAUCUUCUGUUCAUUCACGGAUUUAUUGAUCUCCUACUAUCUUCUAAUUACUGGGAGUCAAAACAUAGCUUCAGCCUUUGGGCAGCUUUUAGUCUAAGCAUCUCGAGAGUGCUCAAGUAAAUACAGACUUGCCUGUGGUUUGCACUGUGAGGAAACACUGUAGACACUAAAGCAAAAGGCAAGGAUGGUCUCUGUGGUGAUUCUGAAAUGUGUCUCCAUGCCCUUCCCGUUAAUGGACGGGGCUGUUUCCCCACUCCCUUAGAACCAGGUGGAAUUUUGUGCCGACUUCCACCGCUAGAUCGUCAGGCAUAGCGUGUGUAAUCUAUGAGGUUGGGCCACAGAAGAGCGAGCCAGCCACAUAACCACAAGGGGAGGGGGAAAAAGGAAGAGGAAGAAAACACAGACACACAGACACACACACACACACACACACACACACACACGUGCAUAGAGCAUGAAGGUGUUUCAAGAGACGUUUAACUGAGGUGGGAAAAUGUAGGUUGGUGUCAUUAUGCAGUUGUAUCUUGCAGACACAAGAUAAAACGGGGCCUAUCUUUGGACGAGAAGGAAGGAAAGCAGGAACGAAGGUUUGAGAAGGGGAGGGAGAGGGAGAAGAGGAGGGGCAACAUGGAGGCAGACGUAAACGAUCCUCACCAUGCAUCCCUGCAUAGAUGCAGGUUGUUAUGAAUAUUUCUUAAGCGGUGGAUUUCUACAGGUCGAUUUAUCUUAUCUGGGUGGGCGGUUUAUAUCUUUAUCAAUAGGCUGUGAGUGUAUUGUGUGGAUGUAUUGUGGACUGAGAAUUUAACAUAUAAAUCUGAUUGAUAAAUUAC